AGGCCACUUCAGGUUCUCAUGGUUCAGUUGUGUAUCUACCAUCACACAACACUAGGCUGUAACUUCAAAACCAAAUGAAAUCUAUCAACCGAACCGCUCAAGGAUGGAUCUAUACUGACUUCAAACUUGGAACCUACAGGCCAGCAGAGGUGUUUCCUGCCAGGCUGACAGAAGACAACAGAGGACUCCUCACUCCUCCUCAAGUACAGACAACUCAGCGGCCAGCAGCAUCAGGAAAAUCUAAGCAUCCCCAGGAAGAUGCGUCAUGAUGACCACUGUGACCCAGAUGGGACAUGAUCUGGAGUUUCUGUAUAAAUGUUAUGGCUUUGCUACUUCGUGCAUUAUAAAUACCCAAUUUAAAUUCCCAUUUUAUUGUCCAUGAAUAAAGUGCUUUAUUUUUUA
Long non-coding RNA from Micropterus dolomieu (smallmouth bass), 402 nucleotides. RefSeq lists it as uncharacterized. The transcript has 3 exons. Lineage: Eukaryota; Metazoa; Chordata; Actinopteri; Centrarchiformes; Centrarchidae. The record is from RefSeq and is a predicted model, not a curated record.